AACGUCUGUCGCGGAUCUCUCCCAUCCCCUGGAGUGAUCUCCCCCGGAACGGCGACCCCUCCCCAGGUCCCGUUCCCCUAGCCCCGACGACCCCCCCCUGGUCUUCGGGGCUUUUUA
This 117-nucleotide small RNA is filed under the name Pseudoxanthomonas indica. Lineage: Bacteria; Pseudomonadati; Pseudomonadota; Gammaproteobacteria; Lysobacterales; Lysobacteraceae. The record is from RNAcentral.